GACAGAGGGGGCAAGCGUUGCUCGGAAUUACUGGGCGUAAAGGGCGUGUAGGCGGGAUGGCAAGUCGGUCGUGAAAUCCCUCGGCUCAACUGAGGAGCGUCGAUCGAAACUGCCGUUCUUGAGGGUUGCAGAGGAGACUGGAAUUCCCGGUGUAGCGGUGAAAUGUGUAGAGAUCGGGAGGAACACCGGUGGCGAAGGCGGGUCUCUGGGCAACUCCUGACGCUGAGGCGCGAAAGCGUGGGGAGCAAACGGG
Molecule: ribosomal RNA, 253 nt
Filed under: uncultured bacterium
Lineage: Bacteria
Description: partial 16S ribosomal RNA
Rfam family: Bacterial small subunit ribosomal RNA
Source: RNAcentral